This 752-nucleotide long non-coding RNA is filed under the name Equus asinus (donkey). RNAcentral describes it as "lncRNA (ENSEASG00005031396.1)". Lineage: Eukaryota; Metazoa; Chordata; Mammalia; Perissodactyla; Equidae. The record is from RNAcentral.
ACUCAGGUGAUGUUGGUGCAGCUAAUCCACAGACCACACUUUGAGCAGCAAAGAUUUAAGUAGUGAUUUAUCUAAUUGUUUGGUUAUGACUGUGACUGUAGAGUCUAUGAGCUCUUAGUCCUGACUGGUCAUGGUUGUCUUUUAAUGAUGAUCUAGAAGCCUAUGAGAGAGGAGUUGUCCAAUAUUAUUUUAUAUGUGUUUCUUCCCACAAACUCUCUUGAAAUCUGAAGGAUUAUAUAAUGCAUCAUAGGAAGAACUGUAAUGUGUAAUCCAUAAUCUAAAGUCUAAUCCAUAAUCCCACCGACUCUCCAGGUUUCCCUUUAGGGAAGGUAUUUAGUGAGAUCCAGGUGCUCGCCAUGAUCAACAACAGGUUGCCGUGGGAGCAUUCGCUGCACCGUUACUCAUCCGGUUAUGAGGUUUAACCUACCGACCAAUGUUGCCCGUACUGUCAUUUCAGAUCACCCAUGGAAAAUGUGGCUCCUUUUGUUAAGAUUAGGUCUGAGCUAACAUCUGCAUCAGUCUUCCUCCAUUUUAUAUGUGGGACACUACUACAGCAUGGCUGAUGAGUGAUGUAUGUCCUUGCCUGUGAUAUGAACCCAUGAACCCAGGCCAGCAAAGAGGAGUGCACCAAACUCAAUGACUACACCAUGGGGCCAGCCCCUCAAAUAAAGUGUUUUUAUGAAAAAAUAUUUUACAUGGUCAAAUUUGUUUUUUACUUAAUAUUUCAAAUAAAGUGCUUUUAUCAAAUAUUA